AUACGGAGGAUCCGAGCGUUAUCCGGAUUUAUUGGGUUUAAGGGGUGCGCAGGCGGCCAUUUAAGUCAGCGGUUAAAUCGUGGGGCUCAACCCCAUUCUGCCGUUGAUACUGGGUGGCUUGAUUGCGGUCGAGGUUGGCGGAAUUCGUUGUGUAGCGGUGAAAUGCAUAGAUAUGACGAAGAACACCGAUUGCGUAGGCAGCUGACCAGACCGCAAAUGACGCUCAUGCACGAAAGUGCGGGGAUCGAACAGGAUUAGAUACCAUGGUAGUCCGCACAGUAAACGAUGAAUACUUGUUUUCGGCGAUAUAAUGUCGGAGGCAAAGCGAAAGCGAUAAGUAUUCCACCUGGGGAGUACGCCGGCAACGGCGAAACUCAAAGGAAUUGACGGGG
This 392-nucleotide ribosomal RNA is filed under the name uncultured bacterium. Its description in RNAcentral is "partial 16S ribosomal RNA". It matches the Rfam family "Bacterial small subunit ribosomal RNA", at positions 523 to 918 of the family's 1533-position model. The record is from RNAcentral.